GUCAAUGGCUGGAGCUGAGGAAUAACAGGGAAAAUAUGAAAGAGCAACUGUACAGAUUUUCGCUUAAUCCCUUUUCUGCAAGUUGAAACAUCUCAAACUGUUACUCAUUGAAAAUCCCGAAGCUUCUUUUCAAAGGAAGAGGGAAUCACUGGCUAGGCAGCAUUUAUUGCCAUCCCUAAUUGCCCAGAAGGCAUUUAAGAAUCAGCCUCAUUGCUGUGGGUCUGGAUGCUGUAGAUCAGACCAGGAGUAUGGAUCAGGGAACCAGCAUUUCAAUGCAAGCUGCUGGUCGAUAAAUUUACCCUUGCAAUGUUGAUGAAGAAGACACUGAACUCUCAUGAUUUCAAGAAAAGGCUGCUGAAGAGAGCCUGAC
This is a long non-coding RNA of Stegostoma tigrinum, 370 nucleotides long. RefSeq lists it as uncharacterized. The record is from RefSeq and is a predicted model, not a curated record. The transcript is spliced from 3 exons. NCBI's taxonomy places the organism in Eukaryota, Metazoa, Chordata, Chondrichthyes, Orectolobiformes, Stegostomatidae.